This 316-nucleotide unclassified non-coding RNA is filed under the name fungal sp. RNAcentral describes it as "partial internal transcribed spacer region". The stretch from base 1 to 46 matches the Rfam family "Eukaryotic small subunit ribosomal RNA", at positions 1786 to 1831 of the family's 1831-position model. The record is from RNAcentral. Lineage: Eukaryota; Fungi.
AAGUCGUAACAAGGUUUCCGUAGGUGAACCUGCGGAAGGAUCAUUAACAUUUGUAUUUGAAUUGUGGUGGUGGUGUGUUGUUGUGUGUUCUUCAUGCACAACUCAUCAUCAUCUCAACCCCAUUGUGUGCAUGUUUUGUGUGCGAGUAGUAAGGGGAGGUUUUUACCCCUCCUUCUCUCACUCACUUCUUUCACUUUCACACCCAAACCCCUUCUUCUCAUCACACUAGACUGACUUUACACCUCGUUUUACUCAGGCUCAACUGAGCAAAACAUCAAUCAGCAUACAACUCUUAGCAACGGAUAUCUAGGCUCUC